This 104-nucleotide unclassified non-coding RNA is filed under the name Arabidopsis thaliana (thale cress). Its description in RNAcentral is "partial miscellaneous RNA". Lineage: Eukaryota; Viridiplantae; Streptophyta; Magnoliopsida; Brassicales; Brassicaceae. The record is from RNAcentral.
CUUAAUUUUAUUAUGUGCGAGGAAUUGCCUUCUUGGAGUAAUGGGAAGCGGGCUAGUCCCCGAAAAUGCCCGUUAAUCAAGCAAGUUGGGGAACAAAAUCUUCA